UAAUUAAUAUCUAUUAAUAAAGCCCUGGAAAUGAAUAGUGAUUCUGCGUCGUGGUUUGUUCCUAUUUACCUAUUUGGCCGGUCAUCCCCUCUUCAGACACGUGUCUUCAAUCUUUUAACCCCCUUAUAUGCCGCAGAGAGAAAAAUGGAUAAGAGAGAGGGGCGGUGACCACCGGUGACCAGAGGGUCACCACCGUCACACCACCACAACGAUCACCAUCGGGUGUCUCUCUGCUGUGGGGUUUUCUGAGAGUGUGGAAAGACAUGGUUGUUGAUCUAUAAAACUUGGAGCUGGCCGGAAAGACAGUGCGGUGGGAUGGUUCGUUUCUCGGCUAUUGGACACAAGGCGUCGCUCUACUAUGUCUCCCUGUCGGCGACCGAUGACCCACCCACCACCAGAGAACCGCCGCCGCUCGACCGUUUGGUUCGUUCACUCUUUCAUACUUAUUUCUGUAUUCAUGUGAGAAAAUCACAAAAUUUGCUAUUUGGGGUUUCUUGAUCUUGCAAACAAGAAAUUGGGUUUGCUUAGGUUCUCUUCUUUGUAAGUGAAAUAUUGAGUUUGUUUUGGAUUGGCGUUGAAUCUUCAAUUUGGGGGUAAUAUUUACCGCCAUUAUCGAAAAUUUUAGGAUCCGUGAUCCACAUAGACUGUAUACAGAUAAAAUGAUCUUCAGUUAUACUCUAUUAAUAGAGUAAUACAAAUGAACGGUGGUUUUGGUCUUGGUUUGUUCUGAUUGACCUAUUUGGGUCGUCAUCCUCCCUUGAGAUGCGUGUCUUCCAGCGUACACCUUACCCAUAUUUAAGAAGAACGAGGGGCGGCUACCAGAGGGUCACCACCGGCGGAUUCUGGCAGUCUUGGUGGUGGCGAGUUUCAACAUAAAACCUUAGCCGACGUUUUAGGCGAUGGGGGCUGGCAUUCUUGCGAGGUUUCGGCCUUUUGUCUACCAGACAAUGAUGCUGGCUUGCUACAUGGCAUGGCAACUCCGUUGCAACCGUAGCGCCAGUGAGCGGGUUCGAUAAUGAUGAUCUUUUCGGAUCUGAGUCGAUUGGUGUUCGUGAUUUCGUUUUUUGUUUGCUUAGAUUUCCGAGAUUGAUUGAUUAAACGAUUGUGUUGGUAGUGGUGGUGGAGUUGGAACUGUAUGAUGAAGGUUGAGUUGGUGGUGGUCAAAUAUUUUGGUGUCCUAAUUGUGUUGGUAGAGGUGGUGGAGUUGGAUGUGUUGGUAGUGGUGGUGGUGGAGUUGUAGCUGUAUAAUGUACGGGUUAUAUUGAUGGUGAUGGUGGAACCGUUUGAUGAUAUUCGUGGCAAUCGUUUCCUUCGUAUUAACGGCUGAUUGACCGCAUCGCGGAGCGCGGGCGAAAAAAAAUCUUGCUUACAUCUUUGGUGUUAGAUGGUGCCGGUGGUGGUCGGCCUUGUGUUGAGGUCGCUGACACCACCUCUAUUUGUCAAUGUGUGGUCGGGGAUCUGUGUCAUGGCUGCGUAACUCGGCAAAAACCUUAUUGCUGGUGCACGGUGUCGAUUAAAUCUUUAUCUAACUCAUCAAAUUUUUGGUGGAUAUGGUUGGCUUGGGUUUGUCGUUCGUAUCACCUUAUAUAUGUCUUAUGGCUGUCAUGAAUUCAUACAUAUGACUCUAAAUUGGAUGUUGAAGUUGUCUUGGCAUGGCAGAGAAAAUUGAAUAGGCCGUGAUGAUAAUGAUAUAUAAGAAAAACCGUCUAUCUUUGUUGUUUUGGCGUGGCAAGGCAAAAGAUCAAAUACAAAUAAUCUUAACAUACUAAACAUACAAAUUGAAGGAAAACCCAAAAAGACAAGGUGGCAUUUUUGUAAUUACCACCAACUAUCAAAGUUACAACCAAAAAUACCUAAAAAAACACAAUUUUUUUUAACAUUUUUUAUUAAAAAAUCGCUACAUUUCGUUAGCAAAAAAAAAAAAAAAAAAAAAAAA
Molecule: long non-coding RNA, 1936 nt
Filed under: Helianthus annuus (common sunflower)
Lineage: Eukaryota; Viridiplantae; Streptophyta; Magnoliopsida; Asterales; Asteraceae
Description: hypothetical non coding rna
Source: RNAcentral